RNAcentral lists this ribosomal RNA (489 nucleotides) under uncultured bacterium. RNAcentral describes it as "partial 16S ribosomal RNA". It matches the Rfam family "Bacterial small subunit ribosomal RNA", at positions 30 to 506 of the family's 1533-position model. The record is from RNAcentral.
AUUGAACGCUGGCGGCAGGCCUAACACAUGCAAGUCGAACGGUAACAGGAAGCAGCUUGCUGCUUCGCUGACGAGUGGCGGACGGGUGAGUAAUGUCUGGGAAGCUGCCUGAUGGAGGGGGAUAACUACUGGAAACGGUAGCUAAUACCGCAUAAUGUCGCAAGACCAAAGAGGGGGACCUUCGGGCCUCUUGCCAUCGGAUGUGCCCAGAUGGGAUUAGCUUGUUGGUGGGGUAACGGCUCACCAAGGCGACGAUCCCUAGCUGGUCUGAGAGGAUGACCAGCCACACUGGAACUGAGACACGGUCCAGACUCCUACGGGAGGCAGCAGUGGGGAAUAUUGCACAAUGGGCGCAAGCCUGAUGCAGCCAUGCCGCGUGUAUGAAGAAGGCCUUCGGGUUGUAAAGUACUUUCAGCGGGGAGGAAGGGAGUAAAGUUAAUACCUUUGCUCAUUGACGUUACCCGCAGAAGAAGCACCGGCUAACUCCGC